RNAcentral lists this ribosomal RNA (467 nucleotides) under uncultured Caryophanales bacterium. RNAcentral's name for it is "bacterial SSU rRNA". It matches the Rfam family "Bacterial small subunit ribosomal RNA", at positions 924 to 1386 of the family's 1533-position model. Lineage: Bacteria; Bacillati; Bacillota; Bacilli; Caryophanales. The record is from RNAcentral.
CACAAGCGGUGGAGCAUGUGGUUUAAUUCGAAGCAACGAGAAGAACCUUACCCAGGUCCUUGACAUCCUCUGACAAUCCCUAGAGAUAGGACUUUCCCCUUCGGGGGACAGAGUGACAGGUGGUGCAUGGUUGUCGUCAGCUCGUGUCGUGAGAUGUUGGGUUAAGUCCCGCAACGAGCGCAACCCUUGAUCUUAGUUGCCAGCAUUCAGUUGGGCACUCUAAGGUGACUGCCGGUGACAAACCGGAGGAAGGUGGGGAUGACGUCAAAUCAUCAUGCCCCUUAUGACCUGGGCUACACACNUGCUACAAUGGAUGGUACGAAGGGCAGCGAAACCGCGAGGUUAAGCCAAUCCCAUAAAACCAUUCUAAGUUAGGAUUGCAGGCUGCAACUCGCCUGCAUGACUNCCGGAAUUGAUAGUAAUCGCGGAUCAGCAUGCCGCGGUGAAUUUGUUCCCGGGCCUUGUAC